This 211-nucleotide unclassified non-coding RNA is filed under the name plant metagenome. Its description in RNAcentral is "partial contains small subunit ribosomal RNA, internal transcribed spacer 1, and 5.8S ribosomal RNA". The record is from RNAcentral.
UUUCCGUAGGUGAACCUGCGGAAGGAUCAUUCAUAAUAAAGUGUUUUAUGGCACUUUUUAAAAAUCCAUAUCCACCUUGUGUGCAAUGUUAGAUCUCGUCAAUCUUGGCGAGAUUUUUAUACAUCAACUCAUUCCUUAACUAAUUUGUCUGAAAAAUAUUAUGAAUACUUAAUUCAAAAUACAACUUUCAACAACGGAUCUCUUGGCUCCC